RNAcentral lists this ribosomal RNA (460 nucleotides) under uncultured bacterium. RNAcentral describes it as "partial 16S ribosomal RNA". It matches the Rfam family "Bacterial small subunit ribosomal RNA", at positions 338 to 795 of the family's 1533-position model. The record is from RNAcentral.
CCUACGGGAGGCAGCAGUGAGGAAUAUUGGUCAAUGGACGAGAGUCUGAACCAGCCAAGUAGCGUGAAGGAUGACUGCCCUAUGGGUUGUAAACUUCUUUUAUAAAGGAAUAAAACGAGGCACGUGUGCCUUUUUGCAUGUACUUUAUGAAUAAGGAUCGGCUAACGCCGUGCCAGCAGACGCGGUAAUACGGAGGAUCCGAGCGUUAUCCGGAUUUGUUGGGGUUAAAGGGAGCGUAGAUGGGUUGUUAAGUCAGUUGUGAAAGUUUGCGGCUCAACCGUAAAAUUGCAAUUGAUACUGGCAGUCUUGAGUACAGUUGAGGUAGGCGGAAUUCGUGGUGUAGCGGUGAAAUGCUUAGAUAUCACGAAGAACCCCGAUUGCGAAGGCAGCUUACUAAACUGUGACUGACAUUGAUGCUCGAAAGUGUGGGUAUCAAACAGGAUUAGAUACCCCAGUAGUC